AUUGCUUUUUCUUCACCGCUAUCCCUUGGGCUUUACUCACCCUCUGUGAGUUCUACACUGAAAAACUGAAAAUGAGUUGCGAGGAUCACUCGACCGAUAGUUAUGUUAAAGGAAAUUGCUUUUGUAUGCAGUGUUUCAUCGCCCAAGCAACCUACGACGGCACCCAAACUUUCGUCCAUUUGUGCACAUAAACUCAUCUUGCAGAGCGGAACUUUUCGCUAACCAACAAUAACCUAGAUGAAAUAUCUAUGACUAAUUGAGAAUUAUCUGUUAGCCACUAGGGCAAAAGAGCUCAAUCACCAUCAGCGCCAUGCUGCCGUUGAGGGGGACGAAUCGCCCAAUCCGAUCCCUCCAACAUUAACUAACUAUCCUUCACCGACUUACCUAAUGAUUCGCGCGACUUGCUACAAACGGUGCUACGCAGUAGGAAAAAUCUAAGAGGCUCGCUUCAUUUCAGAUGAUGGCCAUAACGACCUCUAUCAGAAUGCGCUUUCAAAAAUCCUUCUCAGCCAUUAUACAGAGAGCAGCAGCAUGUGAACCUUUGCUCACAAAUUGCAGUUGUGGAAAGUGAAGUGGACUGAAGUACCGAAGUACCAAUGACAUGCUUUGCAUUGAGAUUUUGAUAUCACACAUGUCGUAUCAAGCAUAUUGAAGAGUGGAGGAGAAAGGAAAAUCCUAUGGGUGCCUUGACAUGAAAGCUUGGCAUUCAUACAUCAUUAGCACUUACAUGGAUGAAUGAUGGGCGGGCUAGCAUCAACUUCAGAGGUGGGGGUUCUGGUUGUGCAUUUCACCCUUCUAUGCUGCGAGGAAUACAGAUUGAGAAUACUACGGAGAAUGUAUAUAAAGCCUGAGCAUUGUACUAGUAGUAAUUGUUUUGAAUACUAUUGAAGGAUAAAGGUCAACGGCUGC
This 909-nucleotide small RNA is filed under the name Histoplasma capsulatum var. duboisii H88. Its description in RNAcentral is "Histoplasma capsulatum H88 hypothetical RNA". Lineage: Eukaryota; Fungi; Ascomycota; Eurotiomycetes; Onygenales; Ajellomycetaceae. The record is from RNAcentral.